GGCGGCCACCGCUAUAGGAAUUCGAUUAAGACAUGCGAGUCGAGAGUCGUAAUGGACUCGGCGGACUGCUCAGUAACACGUGGACAACGUGCCCUUAAGAGGAGGAUAAUCUCGGGAAAUUGAGGAUAAUACUCCAUAGAUCAUGGGAUCUGGAACGACCCAUGGUUCAAAGUUCCGGCGCUUAAGGAUCGGUCUGCGGCCUAUCAGGUAGUAGUGGGUGUAACGUACCUACUAGCCUACGACGGGUAUGGGCCUUGAGAGAGGGAGCCCAGAGUUGGAUUCUGAGACACGAAUCCAGGCCCUACGGGGCGCAGCAGUCGCGAAAACUUCACAAUGGGGGCAACCCCGAUGAGGGAAUUCCUAGUGCUAGUACUUUUGUAUUAGCUUUCUUUCAGCUUAG
Molecule: ribosomal RNA, 400 nt
Filed under: uncultured archaeon
Lineage: Archaea
Description: bacterial SSU rRNA
Rfam family: Archaeal small subunit ribosomal RNA
Source: RNAcentral